GGGGGUGUAACUCAGUGGUAGAGUGUGAGAUUGCAGUAGAGAUUCGUCUUGAGAAAUAUCUUACAGUCACCGGUUCGAUCCCGGUCGCUCCCU
Transfer RNA from Talaromyces stipitatus ATCC 10500, 93 nucleotides. It matches the Rfam family "tRNA". Rfam says of the family: Transfer RNA (tRNA) molecules are approximately 80 nucleotides in length. Their secondary structure includes four short double-helical elements and three loops (D, anti-codon, and T loops). Further hydrogen bonds mediate the characteristic L-shaped molecular structure. tRNAs have two regions of fundamental functional importance: the anti-codon, which is responsible for specific mRNA codon recognition, and the 3' end, to which the tRNAs corresponding amino acid is attached (by aminoacyl-tRNA synthetases). tRNAs cope with the degeneracy of the genetic code in two manners: having more than one tRNA (with a specific anti-codon) for a particular amino acid; and 'wobble' base-pairing, i.e. permitting non-standard base-pairing at the 3rd anti-codon position. Lineage: Eukaryota; Fungi; Ascomycota; Eurotiomycetes; Eurotiales; Trichocomaceae. The record is from Rfam.